CUCUGUACUACCUAGUUAAGCCUGGCUUCCUGUCAAAGCAGUUUGCUAUAUCUCCAUAGUCCUGGCUCAGUUGGAAGAAGAUCAACUAUAAUUGAGUUAUGACAAGGAAACAAUUACUAGAUCAACAGCCUUUGUCUGAUCAAGAAGCUACUACAGAAUUGGACUAGGAUUUGAGGUGGUCUUAAAAACAUCUUGGAUUGCUCAGGUUCUGCUCAUUUCAGGACUACAGAAUCAAAGGGUGCCUGGGUGGCUCAGUCAGGAAACAUUCUUAAACUCUACAUGCAUAAAAGCAAGUGGAAUUCUUCAUAAAGUAUCGGGUGGGACUCCAGAAUCUGAAUUUUCAUAAGUACCCAGGUAUAGUUUAUCGUGGACUGUGCUAAUCUGGCCCCAUGAACUCUUAUUUCUACAAGUAUCUGAACUAAGCUAAGCUUCUCAGCUGUGACUCCACCAAGGAAGCGGAUGCAUUUGCCAGUUAUCCAACCCUGAUCCUUUUGAACACAAGCUUCCUUUGUGGCUGUCAUGAUGCUUUCCAGACAGUGCCACACGUACAGGUAGAGUCUCUCCUCCUCAGAUCUAUCUACUGCUGCAUCGGUCUCAUGAAAGAAGAAAGAAAUAUAGGAAUCUACAAGGAAAAAGGAGUCUAAGAAGAGGGCAGCUCUAUCUCUUAAUGAUUUCCUCUUUGGACAUGAGAUAAGAGGACAGUAUGUAUGUGUAGGAGCAGGUUCACAGACCUACCCAUACCUAAAUAUUUAAAUGACCCAAAAUGGGAAAACACAAGAUGCCUCAAAUGCACUGAACCUAACUGAGAUAACGAGGACCUGGAUCUCAGACCUGAACCUCCAACUGAGCAUGAUGAGGUAUUAUGAUUUCAUUCAUCCCCGAUAGUGUUGGAUUUCAAAAUUAAAGCCUGUCUGACUAAAAAUGAGAAGAGACUGUAUUUCAAUGGUUCUCCAUUCUCUUUGUCCUAGGAGCAUGAGAAUGAGGAAGAAGAGCAAUUUAAACGUGUGAAUCCACUGCUUUUAAUAUUGCAUGUAACCUGGGAACUGAAGUUCUGGAAGUAAAUUAUAACAAGAGAGGCUUCAAUGUGGAAUAUGAAAGGAAACAGAAUUAAUCUCCGGAGAGCAGUUCUCACCAUUUAGCAGGCUUGCCGGCCUGGACCCAGAUAAUAUACAGCGAGCUCUGUUAUAGAGGCAGUAUGCAACACGAGCAGUAAAAGUGACCCCCUCAAACUCCUUCCCUGGGAACUACAUUCAGCAUUUCCGCAUCAAGUGGCUGUAGCUUUGAACUGUGUGAGCAUCUGUGUUUUACAUUGGUUUGAGUGUCCAUCAGCAAAAUAUGUCUUAAGGACGGCAAGUCCUAUGCAGAAACUAGAGGAAAAGGGGGAGAGUGUUGUGAAAAGAAGCAUUUUGGAAAAUUAUCCAGAAGGGGUCAACAAGGUAAAUGAAGGACCGUGGAAACCAAUUAGGAGGAUACUGCAGAAAUGAGACACCAAGGAGCAAGAGCCAAGUGUCAGAACCCAGUGAACAAUGUGGUUCUCCAAAAGCAGGAAUGCUGAGGACUACUGGAUGUCAAUGCUGCAAAGCCUUCUUUCUGCCCCACCCUCCCAAUUACACAAAAGUACAACCUCCUGUUUGUUAGAAUUGUCUUCCUCCACUCCUGAACACAAGCCCCUUUCCUCCUUGAGGGAUGCAGGCUUGAUUGUGUGCGUUUGUCAACAUAUUCAUCAAUGAAAUGUUUAUAAGUUCUCUACAAAUAUUAUCUGGUCAAUUCUGAAAAUACUUCAGAUGGGUUUUCAUCUGAGCAUGCUUUAUAAGGGUUCUUCUAUGAUCCAAAGCAAUUUUCAGACAUCCUCAUCACUGAUCAAAUCUGGGGUAAAUUUCCAGUCUAUUCCAUCACACAUUUACAGUCUAUAGGUUAGGCCUGAUUUUCACAGUAUGGGGGAAGAUUGUACACAAUUGAGCCACUUUGGAAAGCUUUUAUAGUUUUUUUUUUUUUUUUUGUACCAAAACAGGAGGUCACUGUUAGCGAAUGACUUUUAUCAAUGGCAUUCUCGCUUCUCUGUUACCACAACAGGACCCUACAUAUUUUUUCAAUAAUAGUUUUUUUCAUAAUUUGUUGUAUAAGUUUUUUUGGUAUAAAUAAUAUUGUAAACUUCUUGAAAAUAGUGACUUCUUUAAUUUUUAUUUCCAUAAUGCUUAAUGCACAGGAGACACGUAAAUUCUUAUUGAAGGGUUAGAUGAAAACCAAAACAGCAUAGAAACCCCAAGUAAGAGCCACAUGACAUGAAACUACAAGUCUUCCCAAAUCAAAACAAACUUAUCUAUGGUUCUCUCAUGUACUUCACUGUGCCAACUUUAUUGUAAAGCCUAUCUGUUUUAAGAAUGACUAUAAUUGCAUUUUCUGUUCUCAAAAGAUUUUCUCAUUACUUACAAGAAGCUGCCCUAAGCUUCUCAGCACACUGUGAAUUAUCUUUGUUUAGUCCUCUGGCAUCUUCUUGAGGAUCCCUCCUUUGAGGAACAAUUGCUAGUAGUUCUAAACUGGAGAGAUGAUUAAAAACAACAACAACACCCGGCUGAAGUAUAAAAUAAUUGAUGGGAUGACUACCUCCAAGAUUGGUUGUGAUGGGGAGGGGAGAAAGCUGGAAUUUUUAGAAAACUUAAUUGUAUUCUUUUACAAGAUUUAGCAAGCUGACAAAUGGCAUCAUUAUAGCAGAGUGUUGCAUUGAGCUCCAUUCACCCUUUAGAGCUGGCUAAGAGCCCUCUGUAGACAAUGGGCUGCAUAUAAGAAAUGCACAGAUGAGUUUAAUCAUAGGAGCUGCAUCUGGCCCAAGCAGAAAUCUCUUUCACAGUAAUUGGCAUAUAGUUAGGACUGGAGCAGCAGAUGUUGCUUUGCAGUUUGAAGAAUCUGAUCUACAAUCCAUUGAAAACAUGAGCCUUAACUGCAAUGGUUGGACCUUCAGUACAUGACCCAUUCAAAUAGAUUCUGAAGUUCUGGUCCUCUUUCAGGUUAGCCCACAUAUCUCUAGCAAGACAGGAAUCUGUGGUAAUGUGUUGCUCUUGGCCUUCAGGGCUUUUCAACAAAACAAAUUUGACAGACAAAGCUUACUUCUAUGUAAAUGUGGGUAGGGCAAGGGAGAUGUGGCUGGAUUAUCCCCUCUUCAUCUCUGAAUGAAUAAAAACUGAGUUCAGACAAAAAUAACACAUUUCCUGCAGCACAUUGGUUUUCUUCUCUCAUUUAGGAAAUGAACCAAACAAGUGGCAACAGAAAGUUUUCUUUGCUUUGGGGCAGUAAGUAGGAUUCCAAAGUGUUAACCUCACUGCGACAGAACCAUGGGGUCAGUAUUAAGGGAAAGAAUCACAGAAAGCUUUCAUACAGCCGACCUGCCAAUGGCUGGCAAAGCUUCUUAUGCCCACAUCUGAGCAAGUUAGAGAUCAUUUAUCCAGAAGACUGGUGUCAGACUCUAAAAUCCUCCCACCUCCCCACUAAAGUGAUGCCUUCAGUAUUCUCUCCCCAAUUCAUUAGAGCUAUUAAAGUUUAUUUUGAUAAACAAGAGUAAACUAUCUGAAAAAUAAAUGAAUAAAUCUUAACUAAUGGACAUAAUAAGCAAUCAAAUUCUCUCAUCCAACUCUUCAAAACUUUUUACUUCUCUAUUUAUAAUUUUUGCUUAAAUUUUUCCCCCAGAACUCUGAUCAUCCUUAUUCUAUAAAUGAGGUCCUAUAGACCAAACAUGUUAAGUGAUUAUCUCAUGACCACACAGAAAACUAGGAGCCAAACCAGAUCAAUAACUAUAUGUUUCCAAUCAAGUGUUUUUCUAACUUCUUCCUCAUUUCCCUCACCCAAAAUAAUCAACUUUCUCACAAGUUACAGAUAUCACAUGUUUUAUUCUAUGUAUUUCAUAGGUUUCUUUCUUUAAGAUGACAGAUUUGAA
Canis lupus familiaris (dog) is the source of this 3928-nucleotide long non-coding RNA. RefSeq lists it as uncharacterized. The transcript is spliced from 12 exons. NCBI's taxonomy places the organism in Eukaryota, Metazoa, Chordata, Mammalia, Carnivora, Canidae. The record is from RefSeq and is a predicted model, not a curated record.